This 253-nucleotide ribosomal RNA is filed under the name uncultured bacterium. RNAcentral describes it as "partial 16S ribosomal RNA". It matches the Rfam family "Bacterial small subunit ribosomal RNA", at positions 524 to 776 of the family's 1533-position model. The record is from RNAcentral.
GACGGGGGAUGCAAGCGUUAUACGGAAUCACUGGGCGUAAAGCGUCUGUAGGUGGUGAUGCAAGUCACUGGUGCAAAACUCUGGCUCAACCGGAGGAAAGCCAGUGAAACUGCAUGACUAGAGUGUGGGAGAGGUAGAAGGAAUUCCCUGAGUAGCGGUGAAAUGCGUAGAUACAGGGAAGAACACCGGAGGCGAAAGCGUUCUCCUGGAACACAACUGACGCUGAGAGACGAAAGCUAGGGGAGCGAAUGGG